GUUACAGCACUGAUACAGCAGCACGUAUCUCUGCAGGGGACAGGAGGCACCGGGGUUACAACACUGAUACAGCAGCGUGUAUCUCUGAGGGGGACAGGAGGCACUGGUGUUACAACACUGAUACAGCAGCACGUAUCUCUGCAGGGGACAGGAGGCACCGGGGUUACAGCACUGAUACAGCAGCGUGUAUCUCUGCAGGGGACAGGAGGCACCGGGGUUACAGCACUGAUACAGCAGCACGUAUCUCUGCAGGGGACAGGAGGCACCGGGGUUACAACACUGAUACAGCAGCACGUAUCUCUGCGGGGGACAGGAGGCACCGGGGUUACAACACUGAUACAGCAGCGUGUAUCUCUGAGGGGGACAGGAGGCACCGGGGUUACAACACUGAUACAGCAGCGUGUAUCUCUGAGGGGGACAGGAGGCACUGGUGUUACAACACUGAUACAGCAGCACGUAUCUCUGCAGGGGACAGGAGGCACCGGGGUUACAGCACUGAUACAGCAGCGUGUAUCUCUGCGGGGGACAGGGGACACUGGUGUUACAGCACUGAUACAGCAGCACAGGAGGCAGCAGAAUU
Brienomyrus brachyistius is the source of this 580-nucleotide long non-coding RNA. RefSeq lists it as uncharacterized. NCBI's taxonomy places the organism in Eukaryota, Metazoa, Chordata, Actinopteri, Osteoglossiformes, Mormyridae. The record is from RefSeq and is a predicted model, not a curated record. The transcript is spliced from 3 exons.